GAGUUGCGAACGGGUGAGUAACGCGUAGGUAACCUGCCUCUUAGCGGGGGAUAACUAUUGGAAACGAUAGCUAAUACCGCAUAACAGUAGAUAUCGCAUGAUAGCUACUUGAAAGGUGCAAAUGCACCACUACCAGAUGGACCUGCGUUGUAUUAGCUAGUUGGUGAGGUAACGGCUCACCAAGGCCACGAUACAUAGCCGACCUGAGAGGGUGAUCGGCCACACUGGGACUGAGACACGGUCCAAACUCC
RNAcentral lists this ribosomal RNA (251 nucleotides) under uncultured Streptococcus sp. RNAcentral describes it as "partial 16S ribosomal RNA". It matches the Rfam family "Bacterial small subunit ribosomal RNA", at positions 93 to 339 of the family's 1533-position model. Lineage: Bacteria; Bacillati; Bacillota; Bacilli; Lactobacillales; Streptococcaceae. The record is from RNAcentral.